Molecule: ribosomal RNA, 478 nt
Filed under: uncultured bacterium
Lineage: Bacteria
Description: partial 16S ribosomal RNA
Rfam family: Bacterial small subunit ribosomal RNA
Source: RNAcentral
GACGAACGCUGGCGGCGUGCUUAACACAUGCAAGUCGAACGGUAAGGCCCUUCGGGGUACACGAGUGGCGAACGGGUGAGUAACACGUGGGUGAUCUGCCCUGCACUUCGGGAUAAGCCUGGGAAUCUGGGUCUAAUACCGGAUAGGACCCUGGGAUGCAUGUCCUGGGGUGGAAAGCUUUUGCGGGGUGGGAUGGGCCCGCGGCCUAUCAGCUUGUUGGUGGGGUGAUGGCCUACCAAGGCGACGACGGGUAGCCGGCCGGAGAGGGUGACCGGCCACACUGGGACUGAGAUACGGCCCAGACUCCUACGGGAGGCAGCAGUGGGGAACAUUGCACAAUGGGCGCAAGCCUGAUGCAGCGACGCCGCGUGAGGGAUGACGGCCUUCGGGUUGUAAACCUCUUUCAGCACCGACGAAGCGCAAGUGACGGUAGGUGCAGAAGAAGGACCGGCCAACUACGUGCCAGCCGCCGCAGUAA